Molecule: long non-coding RNA, 1733 nt
Filed under: Aotus nancymaae (Ma's night monkey)
Lineage: Eukaryota; Metazoa; Chordata; Mammalia; Primates; Aotidae
Description: lncRNA (ENSANAG00000039000.1)
Source: RNAcentral
GCUGGAAUUGCACCACUGGCCAAUAGGAUUGCAGAAUCCAAACUGUUUUCUACCAGAACUACUCCUUCCCUGCAGAAAGCAGGCUGUGCACGGCUGAACCCUAGUCUGAGAAGGUUGAAGACAUUGACUCAGCCCCAGCAAGGAAGUUAUCCCUCGACUUCUGACCUCUGGCCCUGUUUGAAAACCAACUCAAAUCAUUUUUCAUUUUCAGGUAUGCUGCUCCAAAGCAAUGGCGUGGUUAUUUCUACACAACAAACAUCACAAUUAGUGAUUACAGAGGGAUGGAAUUGGCAAAAGAAUAUCAUGGGUCUACAUGAGCAUGGAGCUGAUAGAAGAAACUGUCAAAUGCAAUUUAAAAGAACACAGUCCUUGUAAUGUAGGGGUGUGCAGAGACAGAAUACAUCUUGAACCAGAACACUAAGGGAGGCUUCACCACAGACGUAAAAGACAAGUCUCAGGAAAAGAUGUAAUUCUAGGGAAGAAAAAAGAUAGAAACUAACAUUACCCAAAUGAAAACAAAUGAAGAUAAAGAUAAUUUCUUGAACAAUAUCUUCACAUCAUGCCUGGGGGAAGUGGAAAGAGAUGGAAAACUGGUAAUUAUUGUCAGCAGACUUAAAAUAUGUAUUUAGGCAGUAAAUUUUAAAUUAUUUUUUGUUUUGAAAUUUGCAGGAAUCUCAUGAAUACAGUUUUUCAAAAUAACGGUUGAAAUGAUGCAAAGAAAAGUCCCUUCUUUGGCCCCACCAAAUCCCACUUUCUGUUCAAAGAGUUGAUCAAAAAACAUACUAGAAAUAACAAAUCUGGAAGGUCAUAAUUUUCUCAAUAAGAAAAAUACAUGCUAGCUAUGCCUUGCUACUCUUAUUAUGCUCACUUUUAUCACUUUUGAUUAUCAGGCAACUUUGAGCAUAAAAUUUCUAGUAUUGCUAUUUCUCUUUUGAAUUUUGUGAUGCUAAAAUGUUCUUGAAAUUAAAAUGUUCCACCCCUUCCCACUCUUCAAAUCCCCAUCUGUUCUCUUGUGAGCACAAGACCCACACAGCUGGUCUCAGACAUGGUCACAUCCACGUUGAUAUAAGAAUAUGUUUGAGUAAGCAAUCUGUGGCUUGGAGAUUUAAUUAAUUCUACAAGACACCAAAAAGUACCAGGUGGAAGGAAGCAGAUAAAUAAGACAGGAUCCCAGCCUUUAAGGAAAUCCUGGCAUACCACUAAAGAAAACUCAAUAUUUUCGUCGAGCAGGAGCUGGAACUGAAGUGAUUAGUGCCUAGGCUUUGGAGUCUUGCAGAUCUGGGUUUGAAUCCAGCCCUGCCACCUAGCAUUUCAUGACCUUUAGAAGAAGAUGAUGUUGAUACUUCAUAAGAUUUUGUUAUGCUUGGCCCUAUCACACCCCUCCGUGCCAUCUCACACUUUAUGGCAACAGAUACUAGUCCUCUGACCACAGAAGUGGACCCAAGAUAUGUCAGUUAGUUUUUAUUAUCUCUGGCCACAGUGAUUGGUUCAGAGAUGGACACAGAAUCUAAUCUGGGCCAAUCAGUUUCCUUCCCAGAGAUUUUAUUCAUUUUUUAUCUGGAGCUAGAAGGGAAGAACUAUUUUUUUUUUUUUUGAUGAUGAGUCUUUAAGAAUGUAAUUUUGGCUGGGUGUGGUGGCUUAUGCCUGUAAUCCCAGCACUUUAGGAGGCCAAGGUAGGUGAAUCACAAGGUCAAGAGAUCGAGACCAUCCUGGCCAACAAGGUGAAACCCCGU